Non-coding RNA from Galeopterus variegatus (Sunda flying lemur), 326 nucleotides. The record is from the annotation of a RefSeq genome assembly. NCBI's taxonomy places the organism in Eukaryota, Metazoa, Chordata, Mammalia, Dermoptera, Cynocephalidae.
CCUCCACUGGGGACAUUGCGCUGACACAGUCUCCAGCUUCCUUGGCUAUGUCUCCAGGAGAGAGGGCCACCAUUUCCUGCAGGGCCAGCCAGAGUGUCAAUGAUAUUUUUGGCACCAGUGUUCUGAACUGGUAUCAACAAAAACCAGGACAUCCCCAUAAACUCCUGAUCUAUGAAGCACCUAGUCAAGACUCUGGGGUCCCAGCCAGGUUCAGUGGCAGUGGGUCUGGAACUGACUUCACCCUCACAAUCCACCCUGUGGAGGCUGACAAUGCUGCGAACUAUUACUGUCAGCAGAAUAAUGAGCUUCCUCCCAUGUUGCUCUAG